Molecule: non-coding RNA, 273 nt
Organism: Danio rerio (zebrafish)
Lineage: Eukaryota; Metazoa; Chordata; Actinopteri; Cypriniformes; Danionidae
Source: Ensembl
UGAAAUAUCACUCUUUUUAUGCAAUAAUAGUAAUUUACAUAUUUUAUUAAAGCUACUGCAGACAGAAACCUGUAUUCUGGAAAAAUCUGAACCUUAAAAUGACAGCACAUCUGAUGUCUUUUAGGAUAUAUACGUCACGAGUAUUAGUAAAAGUACUCAGCAGACCCCCUAGAGCAGAGUCCUGGAGGGCCGGGCACUCCACCUAUAUGUACAGUCCACCAGCAUUUGGAUGAGUGGGGAUGUGGUGGUUGAUGUGCAGCGCGAACUGAAGAC